RNAcentral lists this ribosomal RNA (246 nucleotides) under uncultured bacterium. Its description in RNAcentral is "partial 16S ribosomal RNA". It matches the Rfam family "Bacterial small subunit ribosomal RNA", at positions 57 to 305 of the family's 1533-position model. The record is from RNAcentral.
GCAAGUCGAACGGAAAGGCCCCCUUGUGGGGUACUCGAGUGGCGAACGGGUGAGUAACACUGAGUAACCUACCUUUGACUUUGGGAUAACUUUAGGAAACUUGGGCUAUUACCGAAUAGGAGCUCCUGCUGCAUGGUGGGGGUUGGAAAGUUUCGGCGGUUGGGGAUGGACUCGCGGCUUAUCAGCUUGUUGGUGGGGUAGUGGCUCACCAAGGCUUUGACGGGUAGCCGGCCUGAGAGGGUGAGC